RNA transcript from Ictalurus punctatus (channel catfish), 4143 nucleotides. It is a transcript of the gene named progestin and adipoQ receptor family member IIIa, with no coding region annotated. NCBI's taxonomy places the organism in Eukaryota, Metazoa, Chordata, Actinopteri, Siluriformes, Ictaluridae. The record is from RefSeq and is a predicted model, not a curated record. The transcript has 8 exons.
AUUUUUUUGGAGGUUGGGAUGUUUGCAUCAGAGUUAGCCUGUUAGCGAGUUUACAGCUGUAUUGCAGGCAAUGUUGAGAUUAGCUAUUAGACAUGGUAGGGUUUAAAUCGGUAUAAUUGAGCUACGCGCCAAUAUAUACAAAUGGACUGCUUGGUACAUAUAUUUAGCUGAUUCAGUGCUCUUUAUAGAGUAACUGUGUUUAUCCACGAUGCCUUCGGCGAAGGUGCUGAAGAAUACCCAGUACAUAGAGCUGGGCAGUUAUCAGUACUGGCCUGUCCUUGUGCCCAGAGGCAUCCGACUGUACACUUAUGAGCAAGUGCCAGGAUUUCUGAGGGAAAAUCCGUACAUCACUGACGGCUAUAGAGCUUACCUCACCUCCAGACUGUGUAUUAAAAGUCUUUUCAUCCUUUCCAACGAGACUGUGAACAUCUGGAGUCACCUGCUCGGGUUCUUCCUGUUCUUCUCGCUGGGAGUGUACGACAUGGUGGCUGUGCUGCCUAUGGUCGGAGCCUCCAGAGAAGAUUAUGUCAUCUAUUCUAUAGGGCUUUUCUGCUUCCAGGUGUGCAUGCUGUGCUCAGUGGGAUAUCACCUGUUCUGCUGUCAUCGCUCGGAAAAAACCAGCCGGCGCUGGAUGGCACUGGACUACGCAGGGAUAUCUAUUGGAACGUUGGGCUGCUACGUCCCAGGUGUCUUCUAUGCCUUCUACUGCAAUAACUACUGGCGGCAAGUGUAUCUGGUUAUGGUCCUGGCAAUGACACUAGCGGAGUUCUUUGCCCAGAUACACCCCCUUUACUUGACUAAGAAGUGGCAGAAGCUGCGCUCAGUCAUCUUCUCUUCUGUAGUGGCGUAUGGCCUCAUCCCAACCAUCCACUGGAUCUGGCUUAGUGGAGGUUUCAGCUCAGAAAUAGUGCAGGACUUUAUUCCCAGAGUGUUCAUAAUGUAUUUGCUUGCUGCAGUUGCCUUCAUCUUUUAUAUCUCCAAAGUUCCAGAGCGCUACUUUCCAGGUCAGCUGAAUUACAUUGGCUCCAGCCACCAGAUUUGGCACAUAUUGGUGGUAUUCAUGUUUUACUGGUGGCAUCAGUCUGCACUGUUUCUUACUAACUACAGACACACACACCCCUGCCCUGACUACCUCCAGCAUGCUUAGGGCAGAAAGAUCCGCUCUGAGAAAGCAGCACAACUGGAAUAUAAAUCAUGAGAUUGUUUACCGCACAGCUUUUUUUUGUCAAGUGAUUGUAUUUCAGGGACAUCAGAUUACACUACGAUGACUACCCACGUAUUACACAGGGCUGUUUAUCUGAGGUCAGCAGAUGCUCAACUGGCUGCGGUGUUGUCUGUCCAUGUUAUAUGAAAAUUAAUAAUCGAGUCAGACUAUGCAUUUCAUUCGGCUCAUGACCACAUGACUCAAGUGCUUCUUUAUACCUGUGGAUUGUAAACGAUGUAUUAGGAUUGGCUGAUGGAUAAGUACAGCGUCAGCUAUUCUGUUCAUGCUUAUUAAUGUACGAUGUAAUUUCAAACCAUCCUGCUCAAAAACAACUGCGAAGUUCAACCACGUACAAAGACGAAGCGGUAGAAUUAAAGCACUGAAAACUAGCGUGUGGUAAAUAAUGAGUUAUUCAUUUGGAUCGAUGUUUGUUUUCCUUUACCAUGCACCAACUGCUUUGAGAACUAAUUUUCUAAGAUGCACAGAAUUCUUAAGAUUUUAACCCUUUAUUUUGUAAUUACACAAACUGUUAAUACCAACAUGGCAUUACUUAAUAACUGACUAAAAGGAACAGUGUUCUGAAACCAAUUCAAUUUCCUGGACUGAGACUUAGUAAGAAAUAAAACAUGAUGGGACAUGCACUUAUAGGAAAAGAAUCAGUGAUGGGGUGGUGUGAUGCAGCUGGAUGUGAACUGUUACCACCCCAAAGUUGAUGAUUUUCCAAUAGGAGCAUGUCCUGAAAUGCUUUAUUCCUCUUAUACCACAGCAUUUUUUCCCCCCACAACUGAUUUUUUAAAAUAUAUUAAUGGAGGACAUGUACAAUUUAAUGGACUACAUUUAUGUUUAACACUGGUGAACGUCCGUUUCAUUACGUUAUAGUGGACAAACAGUCGCUCACUCACCAGUCUCUCCUUUUUCUCCCUCUUGAAGUUAAUAAGCAAAAAAAAAAAAAAAAAAAAAAGUUAAAAUGGUUGACCCAGAGGAUUCCUGUCCAUGAAUGCUAAAUAACCAUCUCAUAGAAAACGUCACCGUAUUAGUGAUUAUACAUUUUAAAACCUGUUUAAACGUCCCUGUGAACGACCUACUAUAGAAGUUACUACGGAAACAAUAACGUAUUGGAACGAGCACAUUAAAAUAAACCUGGGAUUUAACUUAAAGUCGAAUCAGAUUUGAGAAUUCAACAGCGCCGUGGUAUAAGUGAACUUAAUGCUCAACAUUAUUAUUUUUUUUUUUUAUUGAUGUAAGAGAUAAAGACAGCCAUGCUCAUCAUGUCACAAACAUCUUGAUUAUGUGGUAUAGAGUUCAGACCAGAAGACACUGGAACUUUUAAUUCAAACAAAAUCAACAAAAGUGCAUAUUGCUUUUUAAUAGUUUUUUAUUCAUCAUUAGCAGUUUGUAAAGAAAUACAUCGUUAUACAUUAUGAUACAUGAGCAUUUACAUUUCUGUCUUAUGAGAACAGAACAUUCUGAACAUCUUAUUCAACUAUGCUUAUAUAUAAAUGUAUGAAAAGCCUAUUGACCUAUAUUUCUGCUAUACUUUUAUAAAUAUUUGGCCCAGGAAGCAUCUUGGACUCCCAAAAGCACCACAGCACAUUAACCUUAGAUGGCAGAAUGGUUGUAUUACAUUAAUUCUCCCAUCAUGAUUGUUGGUGUGCUACAACAUAUUCAGAAUUAUAGCCACACUGCACCAACAAAACGUAUCAUCUAACACUGGAAGCUGAGUGGCUACAAUAAACUAAUCCCUUAGGCUAAACUAUACCCCUAUUUUCAGAGACAACAUGAUAACAUAGAACAGAGUUAACACCUACUAAUGAAGGAAGUCUACAAAACAGCCCUUUUACAAUCUAAAAUUACACUUGCUUUUAACUACCAUGGCAACGUACCUUGUUUGUUCUUAUGUGCAUGCAUGUUUCUAAUGUAAAAUAUGGCUCAGAUCAGAUCCCCACCCCCCCUAAAAUUCAAAAUGUCCCACUGAACCAAGAUGUCUCUGAGAAUGGCUGUCUUUAUCUAAUACAUCAUCAGAUAGUAGACAGGCAAAUAAAACAUGUACCAGUCAUGUCCUGAUGAUGGUCAGAACUGAAGUAAACAAUGAGAUGAAUGAAUAAUAAUAAUAAUAAAAAUAAAAAGAUUAGGAAGCUAGAACAUGGACUGUCCAAAUUUGUCAACUUACCUUUGGUUAAACAAAAAGCAAAAGCAAAAGACGUGAUACUUUAGAGGUCCCGUUUUCUGCACACAGUUUAUAUCCAGCAUGGGUUUUCAAUAAAGAAACCCCAAUACAAUUUAAUCCAAGAGCAACCUUAAUCUGUGCUCAGAAAACCAAUCUUACAUACAUGGUCAGUUUAUUAAUGACUAUAAUUGUAUGUCAAACAAUACAUACAAACAUACAACAUAUCAGCCACUUUAUUAGGAACACCUGUACACCUGGUCUUCCAUUCAGUUAUCUAAUCAGCCAAUCAUGUCGCAGCAGCACAAUGCAUACGCUCAUGCAGUCACAGGUCAAAAGCUUCAGUUAAUGUUCAUAUCAAAUACCCGAAUGGGGGAAAUGUGAUCAGAGUGACUUUAACUGUGGCAGGAUUGUUGGUGCCGGACAAACUGGUUUGAAUAUUUCAGAAACUGUUUAUCUGGGAUUUUCACACCCUACAGUCUCCAGACACAGGUCUACACAGAAUGGUGUGAAAAACAAAACAAAAAAAAUAAAUAAGACAUCCACUGAGCAGCAGUUCUGUGGGCAGAAGCGCCUUUGAUGAGAGAGGUUAGAGACAAAUGAUCAGACCGUUUCAAGCUAACAGGAAGGCUACUGUAUCUCAAAUAACCACUCGUAGUGAUAUUCAUGGUGAGAAGAAAAGCAUCUCAGAAUGCACGUUGAACCCUGUGUCUGAGCCUGUGUCCAUUGUAGCCUCAUAUUUGUUCAUGGCUUACAUGACUGGAACCCAAUGUGG